Molecule: ribosomal RNA, 375 nt
Filed under: uncultured bacterium
Lineage: Bacteria
Description: bacterial SSU rRNA
Rfam family: Bacterial small subunit ribosomal RNA
Source: RNAcentral
GACGGAGGUGGCAAACGUUGCUCGGAAUUACUGGGCUUAAAGGGCGUGUAGGCGGCCGACUAAGUCGGGUGUGAAAAACCUCGGCUCAACCGAGGCAUUGCAUUCGAUACUGAUCGGCUGGAGUGCGAGAGGGGCAAGUGGAACUCCAGGUGUAGCGGUGAAAUGCGUAGAUAUCUGGAGGAACGCCGGUGGCGAAAGCGACUUGCUGGCUCGUAACUGACGCUGAGGCGCGAAAGCUAGGGGAGCAAACGGGAUUAGAUACCCCGGUAGUCCUAGCCCUAAACGAUGAGCACUUGGCUGUGGUCCGUCCACUGGAUCACAGCCGCAGCGAAAGUGGUAAGUGCUCCGCCUGGGGAGUACGGUCGCAAGGCUGAA